GCGAUUGAGUAGCGUAGGGUAGACCCGAAGCCAGGUGAUCUAUCCAUGGCCAGGAUGAAGCGCGAUUAACACCGCGUGGAGGUCCGAACCCACCAAUGUUGAAAAAUUGGGGGAUGAGCUGUGGCUAGGGGUGAAAGGCCAAUCAAACUCGGAGAUAUCUGGUUCUCGCCGAAAUGUCUUUAGGGGCAGCGUCAUGGUAAUGUACCGGGGGUAGAGCACUGGAUGGGCUAGGGAGCCUACAAGCUUACCGACCCCAACCAAACUCCGAAUACCGGAUACAUGUUCCAUGGCAGUGAGACUGCGGGGGAUAAGCUUCGUAGUCGAGAGGGAAACAGCCCAGACCAACAGCUAAGGUCCCAAAAUCUAUGCUAAGUGAUAAAGGAUGUCAAAUCGCCCAGACAGCUAGGAGGUUGGCUUAGAAGCAGCCAUCCUUUAAAGAAAGCGUAACAGCUCACUAGUCAAGGGGUUUUGCGCCGAUAAUUCCCGGGACUGUUAAGCAUAGUACCGAAGCUUUGGACUUCCGACAUUUGUCGGAAUUGGUAGGCGAGCGUUCCAUUAACCUGUGAAGGUUGAUCCGUGAGGACAGCUGGAGGAGAUGGAAAUGAGUAUGCUGGCAUGAGUAGCGAUAAACACGGUGAAAUUCCGUGUCGCCGAAAGCCCAAGGGUUCCUGAGUAAAGUAACUCUUCUCAGGGUUAGUCGGAUCCUAAGCCGAGGCCGAAAGGCGUAGGCGAUGGAAAACGGGUUUAAUAUUCCCGUACCAGUUUUUGAUUGUUUGAGCUAUGGGGUGACGCAGGAGUGAAAGGUCAGCCCGGUUUUGAUUGUCCGGGUUUAAGUGUGUAGGAGGUCCUGGUAGGUAAAUCCGCCGGGAUAUUAAACUCUGAGACACGAAUAGGAGUCCUUAGGACAUAAACUGACCAUAACCAUACUGCCAAGAAAAUCCUCUAUGUGAGAUCAUAAACUGACCGUACCCUAAACGGACACACGUGGGCAGGGAGAGAAUCCUAAGGCGCGUGAGAGAAUCCAGGUAAAGGAACUCGGCAAAUUAGCCCCGUAACUUCGGAAGAAGGGGUGCCCCCGGUAGGUUAAAUUCUUCGCGAAUGGAGCUGAAAGGGGUCGCAGUUACCAGGCCCAAUCGACUGUUUAUCAAAAACACAGGUCUCUGCUAAGUCGUAAGACGAAAUAUAGGGACUGACACCUGCCCGGUGCCGGAAGGUUAAAUGGAAGGGUUAGCUUCGGCGAAGCUCCGAUAUGAAGCCCCGGUAAACGGCGGCCGUAACUAUAACGGUCCUAAGGUAGCGAAAUUCCUUGUCGGGUAAGUUCCGACCUGCACGAAUGGCGUAACGACUUCCCCGCUGUCUCCGACACCGACUCAGCGAAAUUGAACUCUCCGUGAAGAUGCGGAGUACCCGCGGUUAGACGGAAAGACCCCGUGCACCUUUACUACAGCUUCACAC
RNAcentral lists this ribosomal RNA (1455 nucleotides) under marine metagenome. Its description in RNAcentral is "bacterial LSU rRNA". It matches the Rfam family "Bacterial large subunit ribosomal RNA", at positions 692 to 2117 of the family's 2925-position model. The record is from RNAcentral.